GUCUGCGCACCUAAAAUUUGAUCUCGAUUUUAUUACAAAGUAAAAUAUUAUUUUGAGAGUCAUCAAUGUCAUUCCAUUCUCUAUAUUCUAAUGAUCAAGGAAACAAAAAAAAAUCAAGAAAUUAUUUACAAGAACAAUGUUUUUCUACGAUUUUCAGACGGGCUUGUCACUUUGUGUAGCAAAAAUGAUUGGUGCCCAUGUCUGCGCACUAGCUCAUUUUGCACGCAAAUCAAAUGCAGUGAAGUUUCGGACAUUUCUUUUUUGACAAUUAUUGAAAUUUUCAGGGUAGCAAAUUGAAACUUGCUGAUACUCAUUUUUAAUCAAAUAUUUUUGUAGUUUUUGGUAUCAAAAUGGAUUGCUGCGGUCAAGAUUGAAAAUUGGUACUAUCAGUUUGAUGUUUUGUUCUAUGAAAAUUGCGCAUUUACGUGAGUGCGCAGACAUGGGCACUGCACAGACUUGGGCACUCUUACCAUACGAUUUGUAUUUCUGAUUUUGUCUGCCUUAUUUUUCCUCUUUUCUUUUAAACGUUGAGCACACAUUGAAAUUUUCUUUGGCUAGCCUAAGCCUUCAUUGCCGUGUUGAGUGCAUGCUUUUCACAACUCCUCAGUCCUCUUUUCACAACUCCUCUCUCAGUUUUGUAUUUGACUUAGAUCUAGAUCUACAUGUUAAACGUACGAAUGUCACUGUCUAAACGUAAACCCUGUUCUGUGUACUAGGCCUACCCCCAUCUGAUCCUGUCAUCAUGUAGAACAACUCCUCUGCACCAUUUGCAGUUCUCCAGACUGGAGGAAACUAACCGAAGAAGAAGAAGAAGCUGCCGAGACUUCUCUUCAUUAGAUCUAGUCCUAACAGUUAGGACUAACUGUUAGAUCUGAAAAUGAAAUGUAGCUCCGCGGCCGUUAUUGGUGCAAAAAAUUCCUCCAAGCGGCAGGCCCUCCAAGCUAUAAACUAGUUAGUUUUAUAAUAUAGAUUCUAAGUCUAAGUUAGAUAGGCUAACUAUAGGCCUAGGUCUAGACUUUGUCUAGGGGCCUAGACUAGUCCUAGGAUGGGGGGUUGGGUGUCCGGACACUUGUCUUAACAAAAUUGAAGCCCUGUUUUUUGUCUUUGGAUUAAGCCAAAAUAUAUAGAUCUAGGCCUACGUUGAAUUGUGCUUUUCAUCAUCAAUAUUUGAUCUCCACAAUAUUGUUUCCCAUUUUGUGCUAAAAAACAACGAAGAAUUUGAUUGUAAACCUUUUCAAAUGGCUGUUAAAAUGGAGUGUCCGGACACCCAACCCGUCCGGACACCCAAUAACUGGACAAAAAGUUACUAGAGUCUAGAUUUACUAGUAUUAAUCCGAGUGAAUUACAAUAGACCACACUGAUAAACCUAAACUAAAUAGUAAAUUUUCUAAACAACAAUUUUUAGAAUAAUAGAAGUCUAACGUAAUAGGACAAAGAGGAAUAAAAGAUCUAACCAGUUGUUUAUCAGUGUGAUCUACUUUUAAACUGUUAGGCCCCUAGAUCUAGUCUAGAUGUUAGAUCUAUACCGGUAGUCAAAUAACUUAAUGUAGAUCAAUAAUCUUAAUGCUAUUAAGUAAUAUCAAUAGAUUUACUUCUCAUUUUUGCAGAUGAAAAGAAGAAAGCCAGAGGAGGUAGCGAAGCACUACAUUAGUUGUGGCCAGGACCCAGACUGGAUCCAACAAAAAUGGGUGAACAAGGAAAAAGGUCGUGGUGUAGUUGCUACAAGGGAUAUUACAAGAAGUGAAUUUAUAGCUGAAUAUGAAGGGCAUCUGGUUACAGAAGAACUUGAAAGAAGGGAAGAACAAAUGUCUUCAGAUGUGAAUUCACCUGGAAAUUCACCUGUGAACAAGUGUCUUCAGAUAUGAAUUCACCUGGAAAGGAAAGAAACUAUGCCGGAUCAUCUGUUGGUGUACCAACCCUUGGACCUCUUUCUCCUCCUAGAGUCCCGCAGAGUCCCACUAAGGAACGCCUUGAUCCUCAAAAUUCAUCAUGAUGUAAUGAUGGAGCUGGAUCAUCUGGUGGUGUAUCAGCCCCUGGACCUCUUUGUCCUCCUAGGAAAAAUCCUACCCUGGUACCCCUCAAUCGUCAGGAAGAUUCAUCAAGAGAACGGAGGUACACGAGAUGGGAGUCUGGGGAAACGGCUCAACUAAAAGAGUUCUUCAAAGAAUACUUCACAUCAACUCAAACAAAACUUCCAUCAAGAGCAGAAAUUAGAAAAUUCAAAAUGAGAUUUCCAGCCUUCAGACAUGAUGUAAGGACCAUAGCAACCAAGGUCAUGAACGAGGUGCGGAAGACCGAACGACUGACAGAGGAAAGAGUCAAACGAAUUGGGAUAAGAUAAUGAGGUGAUGGGCUAACAGGUUAAUCGGGACAUUUAUGGUAACAGUAACACGCAUCUUUUAGGAUAGAUUCCGGAUUGUGCUUAGAAUAAAAUAAACUUACAGUCUUCAUAAAUCCCUUUUGAGUGUUUUCAACAAUCCAAUUAGUGAAGUCUUUCUAUAUGAGCUCACCUGAGCCGAAGGCUUAUAACUGCACAGAUGCUCGUCCCUGCAAAAACUGUCGCCUCAUGGGCAACAGAGCAUGCGGAUAGUGAUUAAUCACCUAAAUAUUAGCUGUGGGGUCAUGCUUGUUAUCAAUUAUUUUAUGGUACUUUGAUGAAUUGUGUUAGGGUCCCUUACAAUCAAGUGGGUGGAGCAUUGGAGGAGUACCCUCUCAUGAUCGAGGAUUUUAAAUAAAAUAAUGCAUGCAAACAUAUUUUUAAAAUGUGAUUCAGGCAAUUGCAGGGGCAGAGGUAGUUGAUGUCAGAUUUGCUGGCAGGAUUAAGAGUACAUAGGGCCCACAGGGCAACAGUUUGUUCAGGGGUGACCAUUUGGUAGGCAAGUCAGAGGAUCUCUCAAUCAAAUUUAUUGAUAAAAUACUACUAGAGGCAUAGGAUUGAAAGUUGCUCAAUUGAAGCAUGUGGUAAUUACUAAUUUGCAAUUACAUAUGACAAUUGCAUGACAUCAGGUGAGCACCAGGCCCCCUGGGGCUUUUAUCAUUUAUCCCUAACUGCCCUCCUCCAUAGUUUUGGCGAUUGCAUCGCGACCGCUACCAAUUUCAGAUUCUCGCUUUAUGACUUUUUCCCUUGCAGUCUUGUCUUGCACACAUUUUGCAGGGACUGAUUUUUAAAAUUUACAGGGGAGCUAUAAAUAGCUCUCCUAGAGGCUCUCAAGGAGAAUUUUUAGGGGAGCUAAAUUUGUUCUUCACGUAGAAAGAUUGGGGUUAAAAGGGGCUCUGUAAAUCACUCCCCAAAAAGCAUUUAAGGGGAGCUUGGGAGAGCAAUCGCUCUCACUCCCCUUAAAUCUUACUCCCUGAUUUUGAUACCACAUUUGUCCUUAUCAGACCUACCUAAGGGGUAUUAUGGGCCAAUUAGCAGACAUGCCAACAAAAAAACGUAUUCCGUACUUUUCUAUCCUCUUUCGCUUCUUUAGGGGGUACUAAGAUCUAUAGAUGUCUAUGAAUGCAUAGCACCAUCAUGCCAUACUGCAUUGCACCUGUCUUCAUAGAAAACAUUUAAUUGUCCAAUGAAUUGUCUAUGUCCCUCAUUUACCAGAACGAAUGCUUUUGGUGCAGGAAUGAAACACUUGUGAAAAUGUAUGUAUGUUUUCUAUUGAAAAUAAUUGAAUAAUAAAAGGUUUCAGGUCGACAG
Molecule: long non-coding RNA, 3688 nt
Filed under: Lytechinus variegatus (green sea urchin)
Lineage: Eukaryota; Metazoa; Echinodermata; Echinoidea; Temnopleuroida; Toxopneustidae
Description: uncharacterized LOC121428478, transcript variant X1
Source: RNAcentral